Molecule: ribosomal RNA, 460 nt
Filed under: uncultured bacterium
Lineage: Bacteria
Description: partial 16S ribosomal RNA
Rfam family: Bacterial small subunit ribosomal RNA
Source: RNAcentral
CCUACGGGUGGCUGCAGUGAGGAAUAUUGGUCAAUGGCCGGAAGGCUGAACCAGCCAAGUCGCGUGAGGGAAUAAGGCCCUAUGGGUCGUAAACCUCUUUUGUCCGGGAGCAAAGGCCUCCACGUGUGGACUUUUGGAGAGUACCUGCAGACAAAGCACCGGAUAACUCCGUCCCAGCAGCCGCGUGAAUCCGGAGGAUGCGAGCGUUCUCCGGAUUUAUUGGGUUUAAAGGGUGCGUAGGCGGAAUGUCAAGUCAGCGGUAAAAUUUCGGGGCUCAACCCCGUCGUGCCGUUGAAACUGACGCCCUUGAGUGAGUGAGAAGUAAGCGGAAUGCGUGGUGUAGCGGUGAAAUGCAUAGAUAUCACGCAGAACGCCGAUUGCGAAGGCAGCUUACCGGAGCUCAACUGACGCUGAGGCACGAAAGUGCGGGUAUCGAACAGGAUUAGAUACCCGAGUAGUC